RNAcentral lists this ribosomal RNA (497 nucleotides) under uncultured bacterium. RNAcentral's name for it is "partial 16S ribosomal RNA". It matches the Rfam family "Bacterial small subunit ribosomal RNA", at positions 28 to 507 of the family's 1533-position model. The record is from RNAcentral.
GAUGAACGCUGGCGGCGUGCCUAAUACAUGCAAGUCGAGCGAACAGAUGAGGAGCUUGCUCCUCUGACGUUAGCGGCGGACGGGUGAGUAACACGUGGAUAACCUACCUAUAAGACUGGGAUAACUUCGGGAAACCGGAGCUAAUACCGGAUAAUAUAUUGAACCGCAUGGUUCAAUAAUGAAAGACGGUUUUGCUGUCACUUAUAGAUGGAUCCGCGCCGCAUUAGCUAGUUGGUAAGGUAACGGCUUACCAAGGCAACGAUGCGUAGCCGACCCGAGAGGGUGAUCGGCCACACUGGCACUGAGACACGGUCCAGACUCCUACGGGAGGCAGCAGUAGGGAAUCUUCCGCAAUGGGCGAAAGCCUGACGGAGCAACGCCGCGUGAGUGAUGAAGGUCUUCGGAUCGUAAAACUCUGUUAUUAGGGAAGAACAAAUGUGUAAGUAACUAUGCACGUCUUGACGGUACCUAAUCAGAAAGCCACGGCUAACUACGUG